Long non-coding RNA from Passer domesticus (house sparrow), 13794 nucleotides. RefSeq lists it as uncharacterized. The transcript has 3 exons. Lineage: Eukaryota; Metazoa; Chordata; Aves; Passeriformes; Passeridae. The record is from RefSeq and is a predicted model, not a curated record.
CAAUCAGCUGUCUCUCACCUCGUGUUCCUUGUCCUCGCCCCUGCCAGAGACACAGUGUGCUGUACUGAGGUCAGAGCUGUGUUCCUGGUCAGGCAGCCUGUGUAGUAACUGACCAUGUUGCUGAAGUCUGAUAGAAGUGUCCACAUCAUCUGAACGUGAAUGAGAAGUUUAGUCUAGGAAAUAAUAAGCCAAGACAUCAUCUAGAAAAGGGCUCUCUACGGUGCUCCCUGGCCACUCUUUCACAAGGCUCAUGGCAUCUCUGGAACUCCUAAGCACUCUCCUUAGUGCUUCGGAUUACUCAAGGGAAGUUUGUUUUUUGUUUGCAAUAUCCUGACUACUCUGCCUGAAGUGUGAAUUCACAGAUACUAAUCAGUUGUUCUCAUAAAGACUGAGUUUCCAUAACAUACUCUACAGAGGUUGUCUACACAGUAGAUCUGUAGGAGUUUUCUUACUUGAUUAAAUGUAUAGCCACAGGCUAAGGUGUGAUAACUGCAAUUAAAUAUGAAAAUGUAGCUUGUGUAUUAAAAUAUUCCUGGUAAAGAGCCAGUACAAUUUAAAAUAUUGCACUGCACAGUUAAAAUGCUUUGCCUUUGGGUCUGAGGAAGUGCAAAAUAUUUUUGUGUCAUGACUAACAGAUAAUGGGUAAAUUGUCAAUACAACAUUGCUGGAACAUUGACAACAGUUUAAGCAAGGGAACUCUUCCUCUCUCCAUUUAUUGUGGCAAAAUCUUCUGGUAUAUUAGGCAAAAUCUGCAGUUCUGCUAUGCAGCAUUAAGUAUGUUUUCUUGUUACUGUAAUUAUUUUAAUAUUAUUCAUUACUCUAUCCACUUUAGUAUUUCAAACUCAAUUUUCAAUUUAGUCCUUAUCUAAUAGUCACUGAAAUGAAAAAAACCAAAAUCAUCAGAACUAUGGUGGUACUUGAUUUCCAAGAUCUCUGUCUACCUAAAGUGACAUAAAAACCCACACUAGUUUAAUAUGUCUUUGUUUCAUUUACUGAAAUUGCACAAAUAUUCUAAAUUUACUAUGGUAGUUACAUUUAUAUGCAGGCAUUUGUGAACAUACAUUUUAUUUUGGUUUCAUAUGGGUAGAGACCCCUAGAUAUCAAAAAAUACUGAAGGAAGAAAUUACUGAAAUAUUUACCUAUUUAAAAGUUUAGAAUAUGUGCAAAUACAAGUCUUGAUUCCCUAUUAUCUGGGGCAUAAUAUCUGGGUACAAAUAAUCAGCAGUAAGUUUGCAGAUAUUGGUUUCAAAAAGCCCUGUUUGAAAGAAAAUAUUUUAACAUACUCCCUAGAAGACACAGUGUAAAACAGAGAUGAAAAAUAUCUUUGUCUGUUGUGCAACUAAUUGAAUUUAAAAGUUUGAAAAAAUAUAUUAAGACAUAUUUUCACUGCUGAAAACCAGAUUCACUAAAAUUUGUAAGAUCUCCUUUUACACCUUAUAAGAAGCAGUGUAAUUUCUUCUUGCAAACUCACACAACUACUGUUGAAGUGAGAGUUGUUAAGCCUUCCUUUUUGUGGAUACUCGUCAUGAAUAUGUAUUUAAGUAAAGUUGAAUAUUUGGGCAUUUCCUCAUUCCCAGAAAGAAAUACAAGCUCCUUAUUCUCGGUUUCAACAGUACUGGAGAAAUGUUUUGAAAUUUCAAUAUUCAGAUCAAGAGAUAAAUCCAAGGUAAACAACCUUGAAGAUACUCUAGACAAGAGGAAACACCACAAGAGCCCUUGCUAGCUUUCAGCAGGUGCUGAGAGGGAGGGCAGUGCUUUCCCCUGGGUUGGGUAUUGGACAAUCACUUUUCCUUCUGCUUUUUGCUCCAGAUAUGCUACAUGGAAUCCUGAAAACCAGUUCCUUAUUUGCAACUGCCUAUAUGCUGAAGCUUAGGAAAGAGAGAUAAGAAUAUUAUUAAAGAAGCAAUGUGGGAUUUAAUUGAUGUAAGAUACUGCAAUGGAUGUUGCACAGGAGUGAUGCCAUACUGAAGUAAACAAGUAGUGUAUCUGUUUUUAUUGGUAUUUUGGGCUUACAGCAUGCACAUCAAAUGAUUUACAUUCUUAUCACCUCUCAUGUAUGGAAGCAGUUUUUAAAUUCUAAGCAUUUCAGUUAAAAGAAGUCAAAUCAAAUCAAUGCCAAGAAUCCUAGUUAGGAUGUAAUUUUUGCUGAAAAUUACCUUCUUCAAGGCCUUGGAGGAAAAAACAGCAAUUUAGUAAAAUUGAACAAAUAAAGACAUUUCUAUCAAAUUCCCCUUAGUCAAACCUUCAUUAGAUUUCCCCUCUUUUUGUGAAAUACAGUAAGUGGAUAUGGUAUUAUUUGCCCUUUCCAUGAGAAAGACUCAAAAAAAUGUUGGACUGCAUUUGAGAAGCAGUCUUUAGUUUUGUGUGACCACUUCUGGCUGCUAAAUAAAGGCUGCAAGACCUUGCAGGUCUGAGAGAUUUCAGUCAGAGUUAUGAACCCAUAGCACCUUGAGAAAUUAGGUGCUAGGCCUGACCAACAUGCUGAAUUAAACUGUACUGUUGAAAACAUGGGAUAAAUUUCCAUCUGAAGUCUAAGAGCAUUUUGACUCCAAUAAUUUUCUCUUUGAAAUAAAAAGGGUGUCUCUAUUUAACCAUUCCUGGAGAAAAAUAUCUAAUAUUGUACUUUUGAAACAUCCAGAUAAUUCCAGUCCUUUACAGUCAGUACAUGUUUCAAAUCUCAUGCCAAAUGCUCAAAUCCUUGGACUAGAGAAGACCCAGAGGGAACUCAUAAAAUUAUAUAGGAAAGGCACCAAUUCACUCUUGCUGAGAAGUAAUUUGGUUUGGUUUAGUAACCUGUGAAAUAGUUCUGUAAAAUUAUGAACUUUAAGGAAACUGUAAAGAGUGUGAUUAUUGACAUCUGCUGUAGGUGACCUUUAUGUGCUGAAAAGAUCACAAGGUAGUAAAGACAAAAAAAUUACAACCUCCUUUCCUUCUUCUUUCUAAUGGUCUGAAAUUGAAAAAUUGGAUCUAUUGAACCCCAGUUAAAGUCAGGACAGCCAAAUAAAACAAGGCUACAACCUGCAACUUGCAGUUUCCCAAGUGUGUAAUUUAUAUACUUUAGAGACUAAAUGCAACUGCUCGAGGGAGUUGUGAGUCCCCACUCUCACCUGAACAUAAAUCACUUCGUGUUAUUUCCAUCCAUUCACUAGCUCUUCCAUUAACUUCCCCCUCUAUGGUAAAGAAACAUAUCCCAGCAUUUCAAAGGAAUAGAUGUACACGUGCAGAUCAUCCAAAGCUGUUUGUUCUGAUUCUUUUCUCAGGGCAGUUAUAAGGGCUGUGUGCCUUUCUAUCUUUCCUACUUCUCAGUAUCUUUUCUGGAUGUUCUUUCUUGCUGUUUGUGUUAACAGAAUCUAGGCUCCUGGCAGCUUUAUGAAAUUUGUGCUGGUAUUGAUCAGCUUGCAGGAUAUGGAAAAUGCCUAAACGUCACUGUUGCUGGCAUUACAGCACCACGCAGCAGCUAACAUUUCUAGUGCAUGAGCUGUGCAAAUGACCUUUUAGCUCUCCUUAAGAGCAUCUCCCAGUUGUCCUGAGUCAGCGUGCCAGUUACCACAGUAGUCUGAGGGUGGCAUUUUAAGUGUCCCUUGUCAUCUUGAUAAGGGACCAAAAAGGCAGUAGCAUGACACUGGGUAUGCCCUAUGACACAGAUAUUGCCUGAGUGUGCUGGAUGCUGGGAAAUGCUGAAGGGGAUCCAGACCAAAGCCAGAAUAGCGUUGCUUUCCUCAAUGUAAAUAUCCCCUAACAAUUCCCCCAUAAUCACAUCAGUUGAAAUAUUUUAUCCACAGCUCCCUUUGGAAAAGGACCCUGUCUAGUCCUGUCCUAUCUCACUCUUUUCAUUUUAAUGAAUAUGUUUUCCAGAAGUACAUUGAGCAACACAACUAGUAUUGGGAUAUGCAAUUGCCUCCUUCUUCUUCUUUUUUUUUCCCACUAAGAAAUUCAUUAACAUUUGCAUUUUUUAAAAUCUAAUUUUAGACUGAUACACUUUUUACUGUUUGCAUGGUCAAAAGGAUGUGUUUCCCUGUUCUAGCAGAAGAGUAUGGACUGUCUGAUCCCAGCUGCUGUGUGUAUUUGUACAUAACCUUGAUUUGUCCUAAGAGAAAGCCUUUAUGAUUGCAGAACAGAUUUGUUCUGUGUCAUGACUGGGAAACUGGGCUGUCUUCAGUAGGGUGCAACCCAGAUUUUCAAAUGCUUUUUAAAGUAUUUGGGCAUGGACAGCUGUGUCUGAAAAUACAUUAAGGAGAGGUUGUUUACGGGAAAGGACAGGCUUGGUAUGCUCACUAACUACUGCAUUGCUGAAGAGCUGGCUGUAGUGUUCUGUACUCAGAGUUCAGUUAGUAACUCAUGAGUUGUAUGAGUUAAAUGGGUUAUUUUCAGCAGGAUGGUGGGAAGUCUUAUUGCCAGCUGCACAUAUUAAGUACUAUGCACAGCUACUGCAGUGUGAGAUACUAGAGGGGAUUGCUGGGACAUCCUUGAAGUGAUGGGUUAACUCCUCAGUCAGAGGGAAGUUGUACAUGUGUUAUUUCCGGUUACUGGAUAGUGUGUGAAUGACUGUGAAUGAAGUCCUAAUCCAAUGCCCACUGCAUUCAGUUAAAUGUUUCCAGUCAUUUCAGCUGUAGUUUUAAGUGGGAACUGGAUCAAGCCUCUCUCUGUAAGAUUGGAGAUAGCAAAGUCACACUGAAAGGAAAAAGUCAGGUUUAGGGUUCCUAUUUUAAUUUUUCAAUAAUUUCUAUAGACUUCUAAGGAAGUAUUUUUUAAUGUCUGAUUUGCCCUUUGUUCAGUUUCCUACAUUAUGCAUAGAUUAAUUUUAUGAGUUGAAUUUUUUUUUUCUGAAUUUUUUUUAUGUCUGUGUAACUUGAGGAAGUCAGUGACCAGGCCAUGUUUUUAGCAAGAAAAAAUAAACCAAACAUUCAUAUUCUUGUUUUGAAAUACUUUUCUCUGUGUGCUUUGUUCUUUCUGGAUAAAAUAAGCAAUACUUCUGUUUUAAAAGUGCUCUGCCACUGUCAUGUCCAUCAUUGCUCAUGGACUGGUAGAGGAAACAUGGGAUAUCUGAAUUGAGAGAGACCAUCAGGGAGAUCUGGUAAGGUAAGAUGGAGCUCUGCAUGGGAAUUAUUAAUUGAUUGAAUUAAUAUGCAGGAUCUCAUUGAAAAGAGCCUCCUACCAUUUUAGUCAGUUAUUGGGGCCACCAUGCUCUGUCAGACAGCUCUUGUGAGCUUCCCAGACAUGUAUGACCUGUUAGGUGGCUUCACUGAGCCAUCCUACCUGUGUCCAUACAGUGUAGACUCCCAGGAUGGGUGUCCCACAGAGAGAUCCUAUCAAGGCCUUUUUAGCAUUCAUACCACCAUAUAUAGGAUUUUAUUAGCUGUUGCUAUUAUGCUAAAGCACCUCAUAGCUAAUGGCUGAGGAGGGAUGAUCUUGCUGCAUUUUUUGGUAUUGGAGAGGGGUAGGAAAGUGGUAGAAAAAAAUGGUUUUUUGUAUUGGAGAGGGGUAGAAAAAGUGGACUUAAUAUCCAUACUCAAGACGAGUCAAAAGAUGAGACAUGGGUUGUAAGUUGCUGUACACUUUAUUCCUAGCAGGGCAUGCAAGCCUUCUGGGUUUUCUUUUCUGGUCAAAACAUCUUUGUUUUCCUUACUCCUUCAGACUUUGGAUAGAUGCUCUAGCUAUGAAGAUGAACAGUGUUUUGGGUUUUUCCAUGACUCGGUAACAUAUAUAUGUUUAGAAACGUCAUAGAUGUUUUUACAGGUGUAACUGUGUUAUCUACAUUAGCCUAAAUUCUGAAAGUGGGUACUCAGCAGAGAGUCGGAUGCAGGACACUACUUCAAUCCAGACAGUAAAACUUCAUGAAUCAUGGAAAAUGUCCCUAAGGCCCUUCAAGAAAUUGCAUAAAUCAUGUGUUCUGUAGCAAGUCAUUAGCUCUAAGCUAAACAAAAUUCUUUGAAAGUUUUUCACACUCCACCCUGGACUUUGUGUUAGCUCCCAGAUCAAGACUAUCACCUUUCUGCCCAAUUAGUCAAUAUCUGGAGUGAGCACUAGACAGAUACCAUUUGCUGCUGACUGCAGACAUCAAGUCUGAAGAUCCAAAUGAGUGAAGGCAUCUCUCAGUGUAAAGUGGUAUCCAAAAUAAGCAGAAGCUGAAGAUUUUUUGGGAGAGAAAGCAGUCUGAGCAAAUAAUCACAAAAGAAUGAGUCUAAGAUGGCAUGACUGCCUCUUUAAAACAAUUAGAGGAGAGGACCCAGGCAUAGCUGCUGUCCCUCUUUGUGCUAACUUAGGAAUGGUCCCUGGCAUAUUGUGAGGGUUGGCAUCCAUGCAGGCCAACACCCACACCUCUCUGCACCUCUGAGUAGAGUAGCGAAGAGGGUUGAUUUGGGGAAGAGGGUGAUGGUAUCUGAACGGAAGACCUAGUGCCUUAUCCUUUAGGAAAGUAAUUUUUCAGUCAGCUGCACAGCAGCUUCCCAUUUGGCACAGGGGAUAUUAUUGAGGGAUGGGAGAGCUCUGUUCAGCUGUGAAGAAACAACAGUAGGCAUAGCUGGAGUAAGGGCUGGACUUGGAAGGCACUGAAGGCAUGCUUUUGUGUGAACUCCUGUGUCAAGGGGUUUGCAGAUUGGAAUGGGGUUGUCCUGAGUGUGGAAGGCUGGUGAGUCUCAGGUGGGCACUAAAUCCUCAGUCCCAGCUCUCAUUGCCCUCGGGCAGUGUUCAGCACUGUGUUGAGAGCCAGUAUCCUGUGCUUUAUAUUAGGAUAGAUAGUGGCGUUAGAAUUAGGGUAAGAGUUACCCUAAGAAUUAGGAGAGUAGAAAGAAAAUUGCAAGAAGCUAAAUACCAUCAUGUCCUGUGGGAUCUGCUUGGUCAUGGGCAGUCCAGUGUUGACAGUGCACUUAGACAACAUUUUCAUCAAUGUACUCAGGUCAUGUAUUUUAUUGUGGACACUAGUCACUUUGCUAUUUCCACUUCAAGGAUUAUUUCAGAUUUAUGUGGAGGGACAGAAAGAAAUGGAGUGGUUUUAUACUACAUAUAUAAUUUAGAGUUCAAAUGAGGUUUGAUAUCCAUACAGGGCAAUGGUUUGGUACUGAUUUCUGUGAAAACUUUAGUCCCAAAAUGAACAGUGAGAUUUUUGAGGGUAUCAAUUUUCUAUGAGUAUAAACUCACAUGACUUCUUUUCUCUGGCAAAAUACUGGUGAGAAUUGAUCCUAGUUCUGCAAGAAACUUCAGUACAAUUCUGCACUAAAGAUACAAAGUGUGGAGGACAAUGAACAAGAUAGUAUAUUAGUAUAUUCUUGUCAUCUAUUUCUGUAGAGAAAUUCCUCAUUGAUCAGGGGCAUGGGUUGCCCCUAGAGGGAUUGGACAAGCCAGCCUGAACCUAACAAGUGACUGAUGUCCUUGGGGUCACCUUGAAGGCCCAGAAAGAGGAAAUGUUAUGCUGUUGCAAGAGCUAAGAUGGAUGUUAGACCGCAUGCAUUAACCACAAAAAGGGCUGUACCUGAUCAUGCGGUGCCUUGGCGCUCACCAAUGAAACAGAGUAGCAGACAUGUGAUGGAGGCUGUGCAACCAAAGUUGGCUGCCGCGUGCACAAGGCAACGUGUAUAAAAAGAGCGUUGUUCAGGCAAUAAAGGGAGAAGGAUAUGUAACGUAUCAUUGUCAAUACUCAGCUGGCUCUCCGUGGGACCCUCUUCAUAUUUCCAAGGAAAGAGGUUGUGAGCAUUUGAACUAAGUCUAGACAUAAUUAGAGCCUGGAUUACAUCUGCUGCAUGACAUAAACACAAAGCUACUAGCUUGUGGUGGCCUACAGCUGGCCUGUAGGCCUCAAAGUAUAAAUAAUUAUAAAAUUAUAACAGAAAUCUGUGAUCAGUUAUAUAAUUACCUUACUUUUAUAAUUCGACCAGUAAGAGCAGGCCCAGGCCGUUGGAGACUCAGGCUGCUAUUGGCUGGCUGAGCAGGAAGUAACAGGCUCAGCCAAUGAGGAUUGACCUCGUGGGCUCCCAAGGUAUAGAAGGGAGCGAGAUCUGAAUGAAGUGAACUGCUGCUGCGUGGACUCCAUGUGUCUCGUCACUGGUCUGUCUCCGAAACUGUGACACUAGCUCACAUAAAUAGAAAUUUGUUAGUUUGAGGAAGAUAUGAAAGAGAUAUAAACAUAGCUGGGACAACUUAAGUUUCUGUGAGAACCAUGGCAGUUGUAGUUAUGGUACUUUAGAAACAGCCUGUUUAUGAAAACUAGGCAGUCAUGCAACAGUAUGGCAUUCUUCUUUUACUCUGGCAGACAGUACUUAAAUAUUAUCUUGCAACUGAACACAAUAAAAUGAGAAAUAUUUACUAUUGCAUGGACCUUUUCGCCUCCUUAUGACUGAAUUCAUUGAAGACACAUUAUUUUUCUCAUUUGUGAAGUGUCAAUGUUUUUUCCCACUGUGGAAAGAAGCAAUUCCUCAUUCACUGGCAUUUGUUUGAGAGCUCCGCAUGCCAACACGUGACCAAGUAUCCACAUGCAGCAGGGUUUGUAUUUUGGCUCUGAGCAGAGGUGGUAAGGGAAAACAUGAUAUAAGUGUACAGAAAUAGACUGGGUAUUUAGGAUUCUAAUCAAGUCGUCAGAUCUAAUCUCGGCCUGUGGUAGGGCUAAACCUGUUUUCUCAUUCAAGACAGAUAUUCUGUGAUUUUCUGGAGGAAAAUGUUAUAGAGUUGAAAGUUAAAAUUUUCAUUGGAAUUGAAAAUAAUUCUUCUGAUAUUAUUCUAUACAUUCAAGCUUUCUGUCUAAAAUCAGAUAAAGGAAAUUAUUUUAGAACUGACAAAUGCUUUUUACAUGCCCAGGUUUCUGGUAGUUGAGCUCAAAACAUCUUAAAUGGACAACUAAUUGUUUUUUCAGAAAGUUGACUUGCAGAAUGACACUGAACAGACAGACACUACUGUAUCCCAUCUUUGGCAUUGUGAAAAUAACUGCUAGGGAAGCUGCUAUAAAACAGAAAGGCUUGUUAUUACUGGCCCAGAAAAAGCUCUCUCAUGUUUCUGAUGGCUAAAAAUGAAACAGGAAUCUUAUCUUACAGCACACAUAAUAAAACAUAAUAGAAAGGGUCCAGUCCCAAGUUCAGUCCCUAGACACAAAGAGAUCCUCAGAUGGCAUGGCAAAAGGAAUCUUGGGUAGGUCUGUGGAUCCUGCACAAAGGACUGCCAAAGCCAAGGAAGUCAGUUCAUGUCUUCAGAGUUAAAAGUGUUGCAUAACAAGUUCAAUAUACAGCACAGAUUUUGAUUGUAUUACCUGCAGAAUAACAGUGAUAACAACACUGUAAAACUUAACAAGACAGGAAGUUCCUGGAAGGCAUUUAUGAUAACUUCUUUCUCCAAGUGAUAGAGAAGCCAGUUAGGAGAAGUGCAUUGCUGGAUCACAUCCUCACCAAGGAGAGGCUUGUUAGGAAUGUGAGGAUCAAAGACAGCCUUGAGUGCAGGUCAGCCUGCAGUGACCAUGAGAUGGUGGAAUUCAGGAUCCCAAGGGCAGGGAGGGUGGAAAAACAAGGUCAGACAUGAGGACAGCAGACAUCAGGAAAGCAGACUUUGGCCUCUUGAAAAAAAUGCUGUGUGAUGAGGCCCUGGAAGAAAGGUACGGCUAAGAUGAUUAAUGUUAAAAGCUUACCUCCUACACCUUCAAGAUUGUUCCAUCCCAAUGAAUAAAAACUCAGACAAGAAUUUCAAGAGGGCCAUGUGAAUAAGCAAGUUGUUCCUGGCCAUACUCAAACACAAAAAGGAUGCAAGGAUGUGUAACCCAUGAGGAAUAGCUAUGAGAAUCAUUAUCUGAACAUUGGGAAAUGAAGUUUGGAAAGCUAAAACUCAGCUGGAUUUGAAUCAGACCAAGGGGUGAUGGAGACAACAAGAAGGGCUUCUAUAACUACACAGGUGACAAAAGGAAGGCUGGGGAAAAUGUGGGCGCCUUGCUCAAUAAGGUGGGGCAUCUGGAUACACAGGGCAUGGAAAAGGUUGAGAUACUGAAUGCCUUUGCUUCCAUCUUUACUAGCCUUCAGGAAUCCCAGAUCCUGAAGACCAGGAGGAAAAACUGGGUCAAGGAACGUGUACCCUUGGUGAAAGAGGGUCAGAUCAGGGAAUACUUAAGUAAACUGGACAUAGAUGAGUCCAUGGGUCCUGACAAGAUGCUGAAUGUCAUUGUGAGGCCACUUUCAAUAAUUCUUCAAUGAUCUUUGAUUGUUCAUGAUGGCUGGGAGAAGUACGUGAAGACUGGAGGAAAGUAAAUGCCACUUCUGUCACUCAGAAGGGCAAGAAAGAAGACCCAGGGAACUACAGGCUGGUUAGCCUCACCAUGAUACCUGGGAGGGUGAUAGAACAGCUGAUCCUGGAAACUAAUCCCAGGCAAAUGAACAAUAAAAAAAAAAAAAUCACCAGGGGUAGUCAGCAUGGCUUGCCUAAGUGGAAGGGCUUGAGCAACUUGGGAAACUUGUAUGAUUAAGUGACUGGUCUGGUAGAUGAGGGGGGAGCUUUGAAUAUUUUUUACCUGGACUUCAGUAAGGCCUUUGGCACUGUCUCCCAUAAGAUCCUUAUAAAUAAGCUGUUGGUACAUGAACUGGAUGAGCAGUAAGGUGGUUUGAAAAACAGCUGAAUGGCCAGGCCCAGGGGCUGGUGAUGACAGGCAUGAAAUCUUUGCUGGACUUCCUUCAGUAUGUCCAUGUCUGUCUUCUACUGGGACCUCAGAAAUGGGCACAGUACUCCAAGUGUGGCCUCAGCAGUGGUGAGUACAAUGAAAGAAUUACUUCCCUUGGCCUGAUGGCAGCACUCCUCCCAAUGCAGCCCAGGAUCCCUUCAGCCUUCCUCGCUACACAGACACAUUUCUGGUUUAUGUUCAAUUUUGGAUCUACCAGGACCCAGAUCUACUGCGAAGAUGCUUAUGCACUGUGUGUCCCCCAGCAUAUACUGGCGAAAGGGGCUGUUCUUCCCCAGGCUCAGGAGUUGUCCUUUCCUUUACUGAACCUCUUAAGCUUCCUGCUCACCCAUUCCUGUCACGGUCCCUCUGGAUGGCAGCACAGCCCUCUGGUACAUUAGGCACUCUGCCCAGCUCUCAGCUUUGUGUCAACUGCACACUGGCAGAGGGUACAAUCUGCUCUGUCAUCCAGACCAUUGAUGAAGAUUUUGAACAGAAUUAGACCCAGCCCUGACCCCUGAGGUAUACUGCUGCUUCCUGGCCUCUGACUAGACUCUGUGCCUCAGAUGUUCAGACAGUUUUCAGUGCACCUCACUGUGUAUGUCUGUCCAGGCCAUGUUUCACUGGGUUCUCUGUGAGUUUCUUGUGAGAGACAGUGUCAAAGGCCUCACUUUAGCAGUCCAGGUAGACAGUGUCUGCCACUCCGCCCUUGUCUUGUACUUUCUUUAUACUUUGCCUCUAAUUUCUAUUUGCAGCUCCCUCACUAUGGCUACCACGGUGGCAGGGCUAAGUGCACCAGUACAGUUUUCACAAUAGGGAUCUUCUCAAGGAGAGGACCAGUUCCAUGGCCGUUUUAAAGCCUUUAACUGAGAAGUGUAAGAGCAUAGACAAAAUUAUCCCUCAAUCCUCGGGGGAUGUGAGCCAUAGCUAAGCAAGCCUGUGGUCCUGCUGCCCCGGCAGAGUGAAUUGUGUCCCUGACACCUAGUGGUAACAUGGCGCUGUGUAGCAGUAAUUAUGAUGCUUUAUUAUGAUGCUCACACUUUAAGGAAGUGUUUUAUUUUCCUUUUCUAUGUAUUAACUCCCUUCGUACUAAUGGAAGAUUAAGAAUCAAUCAAUGUCUGAAGUCUUAAUGGAAGUUCUGAUAUAUAAUGAGAAGCCUCAGUAAAUAGGAGGAUUGAGAAUACUGAAUAAGUCUAUUUUACUACCAGUGUAUCAAAUAUGAGAAUUUGAACAAAUUCAAAAUGCAGAGUUGAGUAAGGAAACAAAAGUGGUGUUCUUGUAAUAAGUAAUGACUUAUUAGGGCUGAUUUUCUUAUCUCCUAUAAUUUAGACAUAAAACUUAGUUAUUAAAUACAAAUUUAAGUGGGAAAAAAAAUUAAAAAUGAAUGGUGGCUGUCCCAAUUACUUUGUAUAUGUUCUGCUCUGGAAUACAUUCAUACCCUUUCAUUGUCCCAUUAUAUCUUCCUGAAAAGUUGGUUAAUAAAGCUAUGUAUGAUCAAAUUAUUUUUGCAAUAAGAAUUAAAGGGAUGGAUUAAUGGACUAAGGACAUAAUCUUAAGUAUACAGGAACAGAGUGUAUGGUUCGUGUGAUGGAGAGCAGAAUCAUCAGUGGAUGAGAUGCUGGGGACUGGUGCUGUGGAGCAGCUCACUCUUCUGAAAGAUCCCAGCCACUUCAUCUGGAGACUGAACAAUCAAGUGCUUGCCAUCAACCAACUUGAUUGACCCUGACUUAUCUGAAAAUGAUUAUGAAAAUGUACUAUUUAAAAAGAGAUAGAAAAAGCACUUACAGUGGAAGACUUACAGUGAGCACCUCUGUGGGGAGAGAUCACAAAACGUGAAAGAGGCUGCAGUUUUGGGUAGCAGAACAUGGGACAGAUGUCAAUGGCACAAACCUAAGAAUCCAUCUAUGAGGUUCCCAAAUGCAGGCCUCUCUCUUACUGUGUCAAUGGCCAUGCCAGCCUGAUCUCAUACCUUAAGAGCCACUUUGUACAUAACUCAGCUUGUCUUUAAGGAGAAUGAUGAUCUGAAAUAAUUGCAGAGGCAUGGCAGUGGUAUGUAAUGCAAAAGUUUCUCCUUCAACAUGACACCAGAGGGUGAUUCUACAUAUCUGCUCGUGUGAAGUUUUGCACAAUGCACAUUACAUGUACUUUGAGCAAGGGAGAUUUUGGCACUGACUUACAUGUAGUCAUGGCUCCUGUAAAAAAGACAGGAGCCUGGGGCUUGUCACUGGAAUGUUGCAUACUCAUAUAUUUCAUACAGCUCACUGAAACUUUUUGCACAAUUUGUUUCACAGCUGAUGUGCAUGUCAGAGGUUUGGAAACAAGGAUAGGAUAUCCCCAAAUAUUAAUAAAACCCACAAAACCCAAAAUACAUAGAAUUAAAUAAUUUAACUAUCUCAGCAUGCAUUGAAAUUCAUUGAAAUGAAGUUUCCUGGUAUACAUAGGAAAACAUUAUUCAGAUAAAGUGGGAAGAUAAAAUCUUUAUUUAAAAGUAGAAUAUUAGCUGUAUUUAGGAUAGUAAUGUUUUAAAAACUGUGUAUAUAGGAUGAAUCAGUGGAAAGCAGAGCAUCUGGUCAUGCUGCAAAAAAAUAUGUUUAUGUACUGGAGAGAGUUGUGUGUAUAUUUUCUAGACAUAUACACAGAACUAUUUUUAUUUUCAUCAUAGUCAUGGUGAGAAAACCAUGCUGAGGUGAGGAUACAUUCAUCUUCCUAGUAUAGAGUGUGACAUAGGUAAUGGUUCCUCUGGUUCAGUUUGACAUUUUUCACAGAUACUUACUUUUCUAUUAACUCUGUGACACCUUUAUAGUAAUACCACAAGGGUUGUUUUUUAGGGGAUGUGUUGAAAAGCAGUAUGCCUUUAUAAAUUCAUCUACUCUGAUUAGUGGUUACAAACACAAAACUCCAUCAUCAUACUAAAGUAGCGUAAAGUUAGCAGUGUCCCUGUAGUUCUUUAUGAGGUCUGCUGUGUUUCCUUUUCCUGUAACCCUGGAACAGGAUUUUUAGGAUGUGUAAUACAAUGGGGGGGACAAUUGCAGCACCUCUGUAAACAUUUUACUCCUAAAGCUGCUUAUAAUGCUUUCAACAUAAUUUAAUGUAAUCAUCAUUUUGCCUUGCUAUUGUUGUAUUUAUAGCACAUUAAUAAAGCUGCUGGUGGUGGGGAGGAUUUUAUAUCUGUACUG